RNAcentral lists this ribosomal RNA (292 nucleotides) under uncultured bacterium. RNAcentral's name for it is "partial 16S ribosomal RNA". It matches the Rfam family "Bacterial small subunit ribosomal RNA", at positions 505 to 796 of the family's 1533-position model. The record is from RNAcentral.
GUGCCAGCAGCCGCGGUAAUACGUAGGGGGCAAGCGUUGUCCGGAUUUACUGGGUGUAAAGGGUGCUCAGGUGGACUUUUAAGUCAGAGGUGAAAUCCCAAAGCUUAACUUUGGAGCUGCCUUUGAUACUGAAAGUCUUGAGUUUGAGAGAGGGCAAUGGAAUAUCUGGUGUAGCAGUGAAAUGCGUAGAUAUCAGAUAGAACACCAAUGGCGAAGGCAGUUGCCUGGCUCAAAACUGACGCUAAAGCACGAAAGUGUGGGGAGCAAACAGGAUUAGAAACCCCUGUAGUCC